AUUGGUGAGAGAGAUGAGAAGACGAGAGAUCGUGAGAAGAGAUGAAAGAGAUAAUGCCAAAAAAAUAAAAUUAAAGUGAAUCAUUUUUGUCCGUCAGAUUGAGUAUAUCAACGGUGGAGAUCAAAUAUAAUAGCUAUCCUCACCGUCUUGUUUUAACCAAUAAGAAAUUUUUCGCUUUGUUUAAUUAAUUGGCCAAUGAAAAAAAAGGAAAAAGAUUAACAAAAGAUUGUGUUAUAACCACUGGAUUAAAAGUAAUCAAUGGUCAUAGAUUAACUAAUCAAAAACUGUUUUUUAUUUAAUAGUUGUCUUGAAAAUUGUAAUUUUAUUAUU
Molecule: long non-coding RNA, 330 nt
Filed under: Brassica napus (rape)
Lineage: Eukaryota; Viridiplantae; Streptophyta; Magnoliopsida; Brassicales; Brassicaceae
Description: long non-coding RNA (BNAP_LNC025009)
Source: RNAcentral